Molecule: non-coding RNA, 31 nt
Filed under: Mus musculus (house mouse)
Lineage: Eukaryota; Metazoa; Chordata; Mammalia; Rodentia; Muridae
Source: RNAcentral
UCCCUUUCUCAGCUGGUGAGCGACUUGACCC